AUGAACGCUAGCGACAGGCCUAACACAUGCAAGUCAGGGCAGCACAAGGAGCAAUCUGAGGUGGCGACCGGCGCACGGUGAGUAACACGUAUGCAACCUGCCUGUAAGCGGGGAAUAACCCGUUGAAAGACGGACUAAUACCGCAUAAUACUAAAUUACUGCAUGGUAAUUUAUUUAAACAUUUAUGGCUUACAGAUGGGCAUGCGCAUGAUUAGCUAGUUGGAGAGGUAACGGCUCCCCAAGGCAACGAUCAUUAGGGGUUCUGAGAGGAAGGUCCCCCACACUGGUACUGAGACACGGACCAGACUCCUACGGGAGGCAGCAGUGAGGAAUAUUGGUCAAUGGACGAGAGUCUGAACCAGCCAAGUCGCGUGCAGGAAGAAUGUCCUUAAUGGAUUGUAAACUGCUUUUGCAGGGGAAUAAAGUGCAUCACGUGUGAUGUUUUGUAUGUACUCUGCGAAUAAGGAUCGGCUAACUCCGUGCCAGCAGCCGC
This 493-nucleotide ribosomal RNA is filed under the name uncultured bacterium. Its description in RNAcentral is "bacterial SSU rRNA". It matches the Rfam family "Bacterial small subunit ribosomal RNA", at positions 29 to 518 of the family's 1533-position model. The record is from RNAcentral.